GCCCGAUUAGCUCAGCUGGUUAGAGCGUCGUACUAAUAUAACCUCACGGUUAUAAAAAGUCAUGCGAAGGUCAACAGUUCAAUCCUGUUAUUGGGCA
Molecule: transfer RNA, 97 nt
Filed under: Cercophora samala
Lineage: Eukaryota; Fungi; Ascomycota; Sordariomycetes; Sordariales; Lasiosphaeriaceae
Description: tRNA-Ile
Source: RNAcentral